This is a regulatory RNA element of Beauveria bassiana D1-5, 107 nucleotides long. It matches the Rfam family "iscR stability element". The record is from Rfam. Lineage: Eukaryota; Fungi; Ascomycota; Sordariomycetes; Hypocreales; Cordycipitaceae.
AACAAGAAUUUUAGAAUCAGGUUGGGGGAGCGGUGCUCCCUGUCUAUAACGGCAGCAUAUUUUAAGCCUGAUUCUUCGCAUUGAAGUGAUGUACGGAGCUUAAGAGC